UCAAUAAGCGGAGGAAAAGAAACCAACAGGGAUUGCCCUAGUAACGGCGAGUGAAGCGGCAACAGCUCAAAUUUGAAAUCUGGCUCUUUCAGAGUCCGAGUUGUAAUUUGCAGAGGGCGCUUUGGAGUUGGCAGCGGUCCAAGUUCCUUGGAACAGGACGUCACAGAGGGUGAGAAUCCCGUACGUGGUCGCUAGCCUUCGCCGUGUAAAGCCCCUUCGACGAGUCGAGUUGUUUGGGAAUGCAGCUCUAAAUGGGAGGUAAAUUUCUUCUAAAGCUAAAUACUGGCCAGAGACCGAUAGCGCACAAGUAGAGUGAUCGAAAGAUGAAAAGCACUUUGGAAAGAGAGUCAAAUAGCACGUGAAAUUGUUGAAAGGGAAGCGCUUGCAGCCAGACUUGCCUGUAGUUGCUUAUCCGGACUCUUGUCCGGUGCACUCUUCUAUAGGCAGGCCAGCAUCAGUUUGGGCGGUUGGAUAAAGGUCUCUGUCACGUACCUCUCUUCGGGGAGGCCUUAUAGGGGAGACGACAUGCAACCAGCCUGGACUGAGGUCCGCGCAUCUGCUAGGAUGCUGGCGUAAUGGCUGUAAGCGGCCCGUCUUGAAACACGGACCAAGGAGUCUAACAUCUAUGCGAGUGUUUGGGUGUCAAGCCCAGACGCGUAAUGAAAGUGAACGGAGGUGGGAACCCUUUGGGUGCACCAUCGACCGAUCCUGAUGUCUUCGGAUGGAUUUGAGUAAGAGCAUGGCUGUUGGGACCCGAAAGAUGGUGAACUAUGCUUGAAUAGGGUGAAGCCAGAGGAAACUCUGGUGGAGGCUCGCAGCGGUUCUGACGUGCAAAUCGAUCGUCAAAUUUGGGCAUAGGGGCGAAAGA
Molecule: small RNA, 868 nt
Filed under: Paraphoma fimeti
Lineage: Eukaryota; Fungi; Ascomycota; Dothideomycetes; Pleosporales; Phaeosphaeriaceae
Description: eukaryotic LSU rRNA
Rfam family: Eukaryotic large subunit ribosomal RNA
Source: RNAcentral